This 484-nucleotide ribosomal RNA is filed under the name uncultured bacterium. Its description in RNAcentral is "partial 16S ribosomal RNA". It matches the Rfam family "Bacterial small subunit ribosomal RNA", at positions 30 to 507 of the family's 1533-position model. The record is from RNAcentral.
AUUGAACGCUGGCGGCAGGCCUAACACAUGCAAGUCGAGCGGAUGAAGGGAGCUUGCUCCUGGAUUCAGCGGCGGACGGGUGAGUAAUGCCUAGGAAUCUGCCUGGUAGUGGGGGAUAACGUCCGGAAACGGGCGAUAAUACCGCAUACGUCCUGAGGGAGAAAGUGGGGGAUCUUCGGACCUCACGCUAUCAGAUGAGCCUAGGUCGGGUUAGCUAGUUGGUGGGGUAAAGGCCUACCAAGGCGACGAUCCGUAACUGGUCUGAGAGGAUGAUCAGUCACACUGGAACUGAGACACGGUCCAGACUCCUACGGGAGGCAGCAGUGGGGAAUAUUGGACAAUGGGCGAAAGCCUGAUCCAGCCAUGCCGCGUGUGUGAAGAAGGUCUUCGGAUUGUAAAGCACUUUAAGUUGGGAGGAAGGGCAGUAAGUUAAUACCUUGCUGUUUUGACGUUACCAACAGAAUAAGCACCGGCUAACUUCGUG